GUGGGGAAUAUUGGACAAUGGGGGGAACCCUGAUCCAGCCAUGCCGCGUAUGUGAAGAAGGCCUUUUGGUUGUAAAGCACUUUAAGCGAGGAGGAGGCUACCGAGAUUAAUACUCUUGGAUAGUGGACGUUACUCGCAGAAUAAGCACCGGCUAACUCUGUGCCAGCAGCCGCGGUAAUACAGAGGGUGCAAGCGUUAAUCGGAUUUACUGGGCGUAAAGCGCGCGUAGGUGGCCAAUUAAGUCAAAUGUGAAAUCCCCGAGCUUAACUUGGGAAUUGCAUUCGAUACUGGUUGGCUAGAGUAUGGGAGAGGAUGGUAGAAUUCCAGGUGUAGCGGUGAAAUGCGUAGAGAUCUGGAGGAAUACCGAUGGCGAAGGCAGCCAUCUGGCCUAAUACUGACACUGAGGUGCGAAAGCAUGGGGAGCAAACAGGAUUAGAUACCCCAGUAGUCC
This 451-nucleotide ribosomal RNA is filed under the name uncultured bacterium. RNAcentral describes it as "partial 16S ribosomal RNA". It matches the Rfam family "Bacterial small subunit ribosomal RNA", at positions 354 to 796 of the family's 1533-position model. The record is from RNAcentral.